CCUACGGGAGGCAGCAGUGGGGAAUUUUGGACAAUGGGCGCAAGUCUGAUCCAGCCAUGCCGCGUGUGGGAAGAAGGCCUUCGGGUUGUAAACCACUUUUGUCAGGGAAGAAACGGUUUGUCCUAAUACGGCGGACUAAUGACGGUACCUGAAGAAUAAGCACCGGCUAACUACGUGCCAGCAGCCGCGGUAAUACGUAGGGUGCAAGCGUUAAUCGGAAUUACUGGGCGUAAAGCGUGCGCAGGCGGCUUUGCAAGACAGAUGUGAAAUCCCCGGGCUCAACCUGGGAACUGCAUUUGUGACUGCAUGGCUAGAGUACGGUAGAGGGGGGAUGGAAUUCCGCGUGUAGCAGUGAAAUGCGUAGAUAUGCGGAGGAACACCGAUGGCGAAGGCAAUCCCCUGGACCUGUACUGACGCUCAUGCACGAAAGCGUGGGGAGCAAACAGGAUUAGAUACCCUGGUAGUCCACGCCCUAAACGAUGUCAACUGGUUGUUGGACGGCUUGCUGUUCAGUAACGAAGCUAACGCGUGAAGUUGACCGCCUGGGGAGUCGGCCGCAAGGUUGAAACUCAAAUGAAUUGACCGGNGUGAGAGNGCGACGGACGACGACGAGGGGAGGAGG
This 622-nucleotide ribosomal RNA is filed under the name uncultured bacterium. Its description in RNAcentral is "bacterial SSU rRNA". It matches the Rfam family "Bacterial small subunit ribosomal RNA", at positions 338 to 959 of the family's 1533-position model. The record is from RNAcentral.